GGAUUGUGAACUGGCCCCGUUUAAAAAGUUUGGGGACCCCUGAGUUAGAGCCUUAUCUUUUCUGGCUAGGCGGGUGUCCCCUUCCUCCCUCACCGCUCCAUGUGCGUCCCUCCCAGUGGAAGAGGACGACGUCCCAGGUAUAGGAGGAGUCUAUCAAGGUCUCCAGUCUUUGGUCCCGAGUAUACGAUAGCUGUGCUCCCCUGAUAGAACCUCCAAACAAGCUCAAGGUCCUCUAGCAUCACUCACAAAAGUGAAUUCAGUAGCAUGACAACAAAUAGGAUGCUAGCCUCUCUUUGUAU
Molecule: small nuclear RNA, 299 nt
Filed under: Anolis carolinensis (green anole)
Lineage: Eukaryota; Metazoa; Chordata; Lepidosauria; Squamata; Anolidae
Description: 7SK RNA
Rfam family: 7SK RNA
About the family: 7SK was discovered as an abundant small nuclear RNA in the mid-70s but a possible function has only recently been suggested. Two independent studies have found that 7SK RNA binds the CDK9/cyclin T complex (known as elongation factor P-TEFb).
Source: Rfam by way of RNAcentral